UGGAAGCAGGCCAUUGCCAAGAGGAGUAGGGUGGACAGUUUUUAAAACUUGCCUCAUGACCUACUAGUGGGUUGGGAAAUCAAAUUUGGUGGUCAGGAUCAUCAUUAAAAAAAAGAAAUAGAAUAGAAGAAACAUAUCAAAGUAUAAUGCAGAUCAUAAAGGUGAAUAUUGUUUUUUAAAGCAUCUUUUCAGUUUUCUAUAAAAAGUAUAUAGUAUGCACGUGUGUGUACUAAGUUGCCAUGUUCCUUUCCUUUCUCUGAGUUACAGGAGAGAAAGUUUGUAGUCUCAGCUUUCAUUCUGAGCUGGGGAUAGAGCUACCCUCUGAUGGCUAGGGGCCAGAGCAGAAUAUAGGUCUGUUAGGAAGAAGAGAUGAGUAGAUAUUGAAUACCUAAGCAGAAAAAAUUGUUACAUCUCUUGAUAUAUAUUUUUUCUUUCAUGGUGAAUUCUCUGUAUUUCCCUAUUUUCAGACUCCAGUUGAUGAAAACAUGCCAUUUUGCCCAAGUCAAAGGAUCACAGAUAUUCAUACAAACAUAAAUCUUCUAUUUUUGUUCAAUUAGCAGAACUAAAAUACAAGAGAAAAAUUAUUGGCUCUCUUUUGGAGAUAGGCAGCAAGAACAGCAACAGUAAUCCCUGAAAAUAACUGCCAGACUUAGAAAAAAAAGAAAUUACUUUUAUAUUUCGGAUAGACAUCAACAGAAUUCCAUGGAGCAGAGUGUGGAGCGAUCUGGGAAGUGGCUGAGCUUUCUCUCUGGAGCAAAACAUGAAGAUGAAGUGGAAGAAAAAAUGUGGCAGAGAAGGAAAAGUAAUCUCUACACCCAGCUUGGGGCUUGAACUCACCACCCUGAGAUCAAGAGUCACAUGGUCUUCUGACUGAGCCAGCCAGGUGCCUCUGGUUUUGUGUUUUAGAGUGAAUCUCCCAGAAUCGGUGAGCAAAAUCCCUAACUGCCAAUUUGGUCCAGAAAAAACAGUAUAAAAUGUGCUAACUGCCAUUGUCAUUCACAUCUGGCUGACAGGUGGAUUUUACUAACAAUGCACCUUCAUGGUAGCUUUCUAUUUCAGUUAUUCUUACUAAAUAUAUGUUCUGUUCUGUUGUUUUCCCUGCUGCUGAAGCAGUGUGUGUAAUGUCAAGAAGCAUAAGGACAAGUAUUUUAGUCACACAAUUGAAGAGACCAUUAUUUAAAGAUUUCAUCUUCUAAUUCUGGUUGCUCAGACGAUGAUGCCUAUAGCCACUCUUCUUGUAUGACUUCCUUUCCUGAUACUCAGUUUCUUGCUCUGCAUAUUGGAGGAUAAACACUCUUUACUUCGCUUCAUAAGUAUUAGAUUCUAAAUAAACAGUAGCUGUAAUAAUACUGGUGAGGAUCACAGGGGUUCUGUGAGGCUGAAGUCUUUCAAAAGCAGAACAUACUAGCGUUCUUCUGGAAUGUUCAGGUGCUGCUGCUGGCCAUACAGCAGAGAGAGCUUUCUUCUUCUCCUUCUCCUCCUUUCUCUUCUUCUCCUUCUCCUUCUUUUUAAGAUUUUAUUUAGAGAAAGAGAGAAUGUGAGCAGGUAAUUGGGCAAAGGGAGAGUGGAGAAUCCCCAGCAGACUCCCCGCUAAGCAAGGAGCCCAUGCUGGGGCUCAAUCCCAGGACCCUGUGAUCAUGACCUGAGCUGAAACCAAGAUUCAGGUGCUUAACUGACUGAGCCACUCAGGGUGCUCCCAGAGAGCUUUCUUCUUAGACAGCAGAAUCAAAAACAGACUUGCCUUCUGUAACCACUGUCCUGUGAAUAACUUUUUAGCACAUGGAGCUGAAAAGUUUCAGCACCUUUUGCACAUCUCCCCCCACUCUUUUUUUGUGUGUGUCACAAGUUUGCACCUAAAACAACACAAUAACUAUACACUCUCUA
RNAcentral lists this transfer RNA (1884 nucleotides) under Canis lupus familiaris (dog). RNAcentral's name for it is "lncRNA (ENSCAFG00040004149.1)". The record is from RNAcentral. Lineage: Eukaryota; Metazoa; Chordata; Mammalia; Carnivora; Canidae.